CAAUAGAUACCCCGGUAGUCCUAGCCGUAAACGAUACUCGCUAGGUGUCGGCCACGGUGCGACCGUCGUCGGUGCCGUAGGGAAGCCGUGAAGCGAGCCACCUGGGAAGUACGGCCGCAAGGCUGAAACUUAAAGGAAUUGGCGGGGGAGCACCACAACGGGUGGAGCUUGCGGUUUAAUUGGAUUCAACGCCGGAAAUCUUACCGGGACCGACAGCAACAUGAAGGCCAGGCUGAAGACUUUGCCGGAUUAGCUGAGAGGUGGUGCAUGGCCGUCGUCAGUUCGUACUGUGAAGCAUCCUGUUAAGUCAGGCAACGAGCGAGACCCACGCCCACAGUUGCCAGCGUACUCUCCGGAGUGACGGGUACACUGUGGGGACCGCCGCUGCUAAAGCGGAGGAAGGAAUGGGCAACGGUAGGUCAGUAUGCCCCGAAUAUCCCGGGCUACACGCGAGCUACAAUGGUUGGUACAAUGGGUAUCUACCCCGAAAGGGGAUGGAAAUCUCCUAAAGCCAAUCUUAGUUCGGAUUGAGGCUGCAACUCG
Molecule: ribosomal RNA, 543 nt
Filed under: uncultured bacterium
Lineage: Bacteria
Description: bacterial SSU rRNA
Rfam family: Archaeal small subunit ribosomal RNA
Source: RNAcentral